GCCUUCGUGGUAUAGUGGUCAGCACGCUCGACGCGUAACCGAGAGGUCCGUGGUUCGAUUCCCGGCGAAGGCA
Molecule: transfer RNA, 73 nt
Filed under: Stegodyphus mimosarum
Lineage: Eukaryota; Metazoa; Arthropoda; Arachnida; Araneae; Eresidae
Rfam family: tRNA
About the family: Transfer RNA (tRNA) molecules are approximately 80 nucleotides in length. Their secondary structure includes four short double-helical elements and three loops (D, anti-codon, and T loops). Further hydrogen bonds mediate the characteristic L-shaped molecular structure. tRNAs have two regions of fundamental functional importance: the anti-codon, which is responsible for specific mRNA codon recognition, and the 3' end, to which the tRNAs corresponding amino acid is attached (by aminoacyl-tRNA synthetases). tRNAs cope with the degeneracy of the genetic code in two manners: having more than one tRNA (with a specific anti-codon) for a particular amino acid; and 'wobble' base-pairing, i.e. permitting non-standard base-pairing at the 3rd anti-codon position.
Source: Rfam by way of RNAcentral